Long non-coding RNA from Zea mays, 244 nucleotides. RefSeq lists it as uncharacterized. The transcript has 3 exons. NCBI's taxonomy places the organism in Eukaryota, Viridiplantae, Streptophyta, Magnoliopsida, Poales, Poaceae. The record is from RefSeq and is a predicted model, not a curated record.
UGUUAUGAUGAGGGUAAGCGUGUAGUAGAGACGUUGAUGUUCGACUAUCACAGGCAGCAUGGCAUUGAAAUCCGGAUUGCCAGGAUUUUCAACACCUAUGGGCCUAGGAUGAACAUUGAUGAUGGCUGUGUUGUUAGCAACUUCAUUGAUCAGGCUGUGCGCGGUGAGCCCCUAACUGUCCAGAUGCCAGGAACACAGACUAGGAGUUUCUGCUAUGUUGCCGAUAUGGUUUGUCUUCCACUGC